GGUCUCACUGUGUAGUUGAGACUGACCUGGAACUCACUCUGUAGUCCAGGCUGGUCUCAAACAAACCACGAUCCUCCUGCCUCAGCCUCCCCAGUGCUGGGAUUACAGGCACGCGCCACCAUGCCC
RNAcentral lists this microRNA precursor (126 nucleotides) under Fukomys damarensis (Damara mole-rat). RNAcentral's name for it is "miRNA (ENSFDAG00000003778.1)". The record is from RNAcentral. Lineage: Eukaryota; Metazoa; Chordata; Mammalia; Rodentia; Bathyergidae.